UUACGGUCACAUAGAAGUUGAAACACCGGUUACCGUACGAAUCACUAAAGUUAAGCUGCUUUGUGCCUGGUCAGCAUCUAGAUGGGUGACCGCUUAGUAAUACCAGGUGCUGUAAG
Non-coding RNA from Acanthosepion pharaonis, 116 nucleotides. The record is from the annotation of a GenBank genome assembly. Lineage: Eukaryota; Metazoa; Mollusca; Cephalopoda; Sepiida; Sepiidae.